Molecule: ribosomal RNA, 228 nt
Filed under: Escherichia coli
Lineage: Bacteria; Pseudomonadati; Pseudomonadota; Gammaproteobacteria; Enterobacterales; Enterobacteriaceae
Description: partial 16S ribosomal RNA
Rfam family: Bacterial small subunit ribosomal RNA
Source: RNAcentral
AAAUUGAAGAGUUUGAUCAUGGCUCAGAUUGAACGCUGGCGGCAGGCCUAACACAUGCAAGUCGAACGGUAACAGGAAGCAGCUUGCUGCUUCGCUGACGAGUGGCGGACGGGUGAGUAAUGUCUGGGAAACUGCCUGAUGGAGGGGGAUAACUACUGGAAACGGUAGCUAAUACCGCAUAACGUCGCAAGACCAAAGAGGGGGACCUUCGGGCCUCUUGCCAUCGGA